Molecule: ribosomal RNA, 1368 nt
Filed under: Triticum aestivum (bread wheat)
Lineage: Eukaryota; Viridiplantae; Streptophyta; Magnoliopsida; Poales; Poaceae
Description: partial small subunit ribosomal RNA
Source: RNAcentral
AUGGGUUGCCUCGGCCGCUUCAGGAGCAAGAUCAGGGCGGGCAAGGGCAAGAGACCGCACGGGAGGCCGGUGCGGGGCCCGGGCGCGUCGUUCACCUCCGAGGCCACCUGCUCGACGGCGUCGUCGUCGGCCGCGGCCACGAGCCAGUCCCAGGACUCCGGCGCGACCGUGCGGCCCGGCGGGAGCAAGUCGUCGGGGUCGGCCUCGUCGGCGCGGAGCAUCCCAGAGCUGUACGAGGAGCGGGGCGCGAGCAGCCUGCGCGAGUUCGGCCUCCGGGAGCUCCACGCCGCCACCAGCGACUUCAGCCGGCUGCUCAAAAUCGGCGAGGGCGGGUUCGGGAGCGUCUACAAGGGGGUCGUCCGCCUGCCCGGUGGCCCCGCCGGCGGCACCGUGGUGGCCAUCAAAAGGCUCAACACCAGCGGCCACCAGGGGCAUAAGCAAUGGCUGGCAGAAGUUCAUUUUCUAGGGGUUGUCGAGCACCCAAACCUCGUCAAGCUCAUCGGUUACUGUGCUGCCCGUAACGAAAGAGGUCCUCAGAGGCUGCUUGUCUAUGAGUUCAUGACGAACAAAACUCUGGAUGAUCAUCUAUUCAAUCGAGCAUACCCUGUUCUUCCAUGGGGCGUCAGGUUGGAAAUAGUAUUUGGUGCUGCUCAGGGUUUGAUGUAUCUCCAUGAAGGGUUGGAGAUUCAGAUCAUAUAUCGUGAUUUCAAAGCUUCCAAUGUUCUGCUGGAUGAGGAGUUUAGACCGAAACUUUCAGACUUUGGAUUAGCAAGGGAAGGGCCAUCAGCAGAUCAAACUCAUGUGUCUACAGCGGUUAUGGGAACCUAUGGUUAUGCGGCUCCAGACUACGUCGCGACAGGCCAUCUCACCACCAAGAGUGAUGUUUGGAGCUUUGGAGUAGUACUCUAUGAGAUCCUCACCGGACGACGUUCUAUGGAUAAGAACCGCCCCAAGAAUGAGCAGAAACUGCUGGAAUGGGUAAAGCAGUAUCCUGCCGGAAGUAAGCAGUUCAGCAAGAUUAUAGAUACAAGACUCGAAGGCCGUUACUCUAGGCAGGGAACUAGAGAAAUUGCUAAGUUGGCCAACACCUGCCUUGCAAAGCGCUCAAGGGACCGUCCAACCAUGAGACAGGUGGCUGACAGCCUAAAGCAAGUGAUGCAGCUCAAGCAGUUGGAUGGCGAAAGUGUCACAUCAGGGGGCAACUCGCCACCUCAUGAUGUCCAGGGUAAGCCAACAGCAGACGAUAUUGCCGUGGCUUCAGCAAGGCGGCGGAUGCUUCACCUUGCUGCUCUAGGUGAAAAUGGAAACAGCAUCGCAAGGAGGAGAUUCAUGUUCAUGAAGGCUGCCGCUGCUCCAACUCCAACGUGA